RNAcentral lists this ribosomal RNA (473 nucleotides) under uncultured bacterium. RNAcentral's name for it is "bacterial SSU rRNA". It matches the Rfam family "Bacterial small subunit ribosomal RNA", at positions 330 to 793 of the family's 1533-position model. The record is from RNAcentral.
UGAGCACUCCUACGGGAGGCAGCAGUGGGGAAUAUUGCACAAUGGGCGCAAGCCUGAUGCAGGCCAUGCCGCGUGUAUGAAGAAGGCCUUCGGGUUGUAAAGUACUUUCAGCAGUGAGGAAGGUGGGUAUGGUUAAUAGCAUACUCAUUUGACGUUAGCUGCAGAAGAAGCACCGGCUAACUCCGUGCCAGCAGCCGCGGUAAUACGGAGGGUGCGAGCGUUAAUCGGAAUUACUGGGCGUAAAGCGCAUGCAGGUGGUUUGUUAAGUCAGAUGUGAAAGCCCAGGGCUCAACCUCGGAAUUGCAUUUGAAAACUGGCAAACUAGAGUACUGUAGAGGGGGUAGAAUUUCAGGUGUAGCGGUGAAAUGCGUAGAGAUCUGAAGGAAUACCGGUGGCGAAGGCGGCCCCCUGGACAGAUACUGACACUCAGAUGCGAAAGCGUGGGGAGCAAACAGGAUUAGAUACCCUGGUAG